Molecule: ribosomal RNA, 470 nt
Filed under: uncultured bacterium
Lineage: Bacteria
Description: partial 16S ribosomal RNA
Rfam family: Bacterial small subunit ribosomal RNA
Source: RNAcentral
GACGAACGCUGGCGGCGUGCUUAACACAUGCAAGUCGAACGCUGAAGCACCAGCUUGCUGGUGUGGAUGAGUGGCGAACGGGUGAGGAAUACGUGAGUAACCUGCCCUUGACCCUGGGAUAAGCCCGGGAAACUGGGUCUAAUACUGGAUGCUACAUGUCACCGCAUGGUGGUGUGUGGAAAGGGUUUACUGGUCUUGGAUGGGCUCACGGCCUAUCAGCUUGUUGGUGAGGUAAUGGCUCACCAAGGCGACGACGGGUAGCCGGCCUGAGAGGGUGACCGGCCACACUGGGACUGAGACACGGCCCAGACUCCUACGGGAGGCAGCAGUGGGGAAUAUUGCACAAUGGGCGAAAGCCUGAUGCAGCGACGCCGCGUGAGGGAUGACGGCCUUCGGGUUGUAAACCUCUUUCAGCAGGGAAGAAGCCACAAGUGACAGUACCUGCAGAAGAAGCGCCGGCUAACUACGUG